GAAAGGGCAUAUCGCCCUUUNUUUUCUGAACCGUAGGGAGGUUCAAGAACAAAGAGCUGGGCAAGACCGGUGCCAGCCGCCGCGGUAAUACCGGCAGCUCGAGUGAUGACCGAUUUUAUUGGGCCUAAAGCGUCCGUAGCUGGCCGCGCAAGUCUGUCAGGAAAUCCACCCGCUUAACGGGUGGGCGUCCGGCGGAAACUGUGCGGCUUGGGACAGGAAGGCUCGAGGGGUACGUUCGGGGUAGGAGUGAAAUCCUGUAAUCCUGAACGGACCACCGAUGGCGAAAGCACCUCGAGAGGACUGAUCCGACAGUGAGGGACGAAAGCUGGGGUCUCGAACCGGAUUAGAUACCCGGGUAGUCCCAGCCGUAAACGAUGUUCGCUAGGUGUGUCACUCACUACGAGUGAGUGAUGUGCCGCAGGGAAGCCGCUAAGCGAACCGCCUGGGAAGUACGUCCGCAAGGAUGAAACUUAAAGGAAUUGGCGGGGGAGCACUACAACCGGAGGAGCCUGCGGUUUAAUUGGACUCAACGCCGGUAACCUUACCAGCCCCGACUACGGUGAUGACGGCCAGGUUGAUGACCUCGUCACGACGCCGUAGAGAGGUGGUGCAUGGCCGCCGUCAGCUCGUACCGUGAGGCGUCCUGUUAAGUCAGGCAACGAGCGAGACCCGCACUCUUAAUUGCCAGCAUGUCCCUUGUGGAUGAUGGGUACAUUAGGAGGACUGCCGCCGCCAAGGCGGAGGAAGGAACGGGCAACGGUAGGUCAGUAUGCCCCGAAUGGGCUGGGCAACACGCGGGCUACAAUGGCCGAGACAAUGGGUUCCCACCCCGAGAGGGAGCGGUAAUCUCAGAAACUCGGUCGUAGUUCGGAUUGCGGACUGCAACUCGUCCGCAUGAAGCUGGAUUUCGGUAGUAAUCGCAU
This 923-nucleotide ribosomal RNA is filed under the name uncultured archaeon. RNAcentral describes it as "bacterial SSU rRNA". It matches the Rfam family "Archaeal small subunit ribosomal RNA", at positions 385 to 1303 of the family's 1478-position model. The record is from RNAcentral.